GACGAACGCUGGCGGCGUGCCUAAUACAUGCAAGUCGAGCGGACCGAAGGGAGCUUGCUCCUUUAGGUUAGCGGCGGACGGGUGAGUAACACGUGGGCAACCUGCCCUGCAGACUGGGAUAACUUCGGGAAACCGGAGCUAAUACCGGAUAACACCGAAAACCGCAUGGUUUUCGGUUGAAAGGCGGCUUUUAGCUGUCACUGCAGGAUGGGCCCGCGGCGCAUUAGCUAGUUGGUGAGGUAACGGCUCACCAAGGCGUGGAUGCGUAGCCGACCUGGGAGGGUGACCGGCCACACUGGGACUGAGGCACUGCCCAGACUCCUACGGGAGGCAGCAGUAGGGAAUCUUCCGCAAUGGACGAAAGUCUGACGGAGCAACGCCGCGUGAGCGAAGAAGGUCUUCGGAUCGUAAAGCUCUGUUGUCAGGGAAGAACAAGUACCGUUCGAAUAGGGCGGUACCUUGACGGUACCUGACGAGGAAGCCACGGCUAACUACGUGCCAGCAGCCGCCGCAG
This 514-nucleotide ribosomal RNA is filed under the name uncultured bacterium. RNAcentral's name for it is "partial 16S ribosomal RNA". It matches the Rfam family "Bacterial small subunit ribosomal RNA", at positions 28 to 523 of the family's 1533-position model. The record is from RNAcentral.